Mycena alexandri is the source of this 97-nucleotide non-coding RNA. NCBI's taxonomy places the organism in Eukaryota, Fungi, Basidiomycota, Agaricomycetes, Agaricales, Mycenaceae. The record is from the annotation of a GenBank genome assembly.
GACCCAAUGGCACAACGGUUAGUGCACUUGCUUUCAUUGUGAUUUUGAAUAGAGAGUUUUAGGCAAGAGGUCCCCUGUUCGAUUCGGGGUUGGGUCA